AGGAAUUGGCGGGGGAGCACUACAAGGGGUGGAGCGUGCGGUUUAAUUGGAUUCAACGCCGGGAACCUCACCGGGGGCGACGGCAGGAUGAAGGCCAGGCUGAAGGUCUUGCCGGACACGCCGAGAGGAGGUGCAUGGCCGCCGUCAGCUCGUACCGUGAGGCGUCCACUUAAGUGUGGUAACGAGCGAGACCCGCGCCCCCAGUUGCCAGUCCUCCCCGCUGGGGAGGAGGCACUCUGGGGGGACCGCCGGCGAUAAGCCGGAGGAAGGAGCGGGCGACGGUAGGUCAGUAUGCCCCGAAACCCCCGGGCUACACGCGCGCUACAAUGGGCGGGACAAUGGGAUCCGACCCCGAAAGGGGAAGGGAAUCCCCUAAACCCGCCCCCAGUUCGGAUUGCGGGCUGCAACUUCGCCCGCAUGAAGCUGGAAUCCCUAGUACCCGCGUGUC
RNAcentral lists this ribosomal RNA (448 nucleotides) under uncultured Thermococcales archaeon. Its description in RNAcentral is "bacterial SSU rRNA". It matches the Rfam family "Archaeal small subunit ribosomal RNA", at positions 860 to 1306 of the family's 1478-position model. The record is from RNAcentral. Lineage: Archaea; Methanobacteriati; Methanobacteriota; Thermococci; Thermococcales.